AUUUGUUCUGUUUUGUUGUUUUGAGAGAGUCUUGGCUGUCUGGAACUUGCUCUGUAGACCAGGCUGGCCUUGAACUCAGAGCUCUGCCUGUCUCUGCCUCCUGAUCACAGGGAUUGAAGCUGUGAACCACUACUACCUGUAAAAGGGACUUAAAAGGAGAAUAUUUCCCCUUACCCUCCAAGGUUAGCGGGUGCCAGGGGCCUACUCAAAUGUUCUGUGACUCUGGGAAGUCAUUGCCCUUUUGUUCAGGGAGCCCAUGGUGAGCCUACUGAGUGAACUCAUACCAGUCUACAAAAAAGAGGACAUUUUUCCUCCAUGCUUCCAAGCGAAGGCUGUGGGUGGUUAAGCAAGGCCUCUGACUUGUCCUCACAGCCAGAGGCUCCUCUUAAACCCAAGUGACCCCUGAGGACCAGAUCCGCAACUGGCCUUGACGAUAAAAAUCAAAUGAUUAAUUUUGGUCAUCUAUAUGAUCUUAAAACACCCAAUAAGAAAAUACACUCCCAAACUAAGAUGCUCAGUAUGUGGGAUUUGUUGUUGUUUUGUUUUCUUGACAGUCCAAGGAUCCAUUCCCCAGAUUUUGGACUUAAAUCCAUGAGACAUUAGAUAACUACUUCUCACUAAGAAUUUUCUUCUUGGUAAGAAAAUGCAACCCAGAUGUAAGACUUCAGAUUUUGCCUCAGUUCAAAACUGCAGUGCCUAUCAGUAGCGGAGAGACAGGCCCAUAACUGCUUUAACCUAGAAAUCAAACAAUGGCUGAGUUUCUUUUCUCUCCUUAAGAAGCCAAACGGGAGGGGUGUCAUGCUGACUUGCCACUCCGAAGGCUAUCUAUCAGAUGGUCUCAAUCGGUCAGACCAUCACUGGAGACCAGUCUUAAAAGUCAAAGGAAAAUGAAGAGGAGCCAAAUAGAGGGAGGUUCUUGUGAGCCUGGUAAGAGAUUCCAGUGAACUUUGAUCUGGAUGUUUAAAACACUCCGUUUUGGCUUCCCUUGUUUCUGCAAAUAACUUGCUAUAACUUCUGCCUCAUACCCCUCUUCGGGUACCAAGCAAGGACUUCUUUUCUUCCCUCUCUACAACUGGCUGUUAUACAGAUAAUCCUAAGGUUAUCUCUCAGAGGAGGAGCGGGAUGGUAAAAGCAGGUGAGGUUUGGCUAGGCAGUUUAAGGGGAAAAACAAACAGACAGACAGACAGACAAUUUAUCUCUUGGCUAACAGCCAGAAAGCUUCUUGGAACUCUUGGCAGCCUCCUCUUUGACAGAAACCAAAGAGCCAAAAAUCUGAUUUGGUUCCUAAAUGAUUCUAUGAUUUUUUUUUUGUGAUGGGGUGGGGGAGGUGUGCUGCAGAGGGGGAGGGGGUGUAAAAAUUGUCAAUGAAGGCCUGUUAAAAAAACUGGCCAGCACUUGAGAGGCAGAAGCGGGCACAUCUUUGAAUUCGAGGUCAGCCUGGUCUACAUAGUAAAUUCUAGAACAGUCACAACUACAUAGAGAGACCCUGCCUCAAAAAAAAAAGUAAAUAAGUAUAUAAACAAAAAUAAUAAAGAAAAAGGAAGAAGAAAGCAGGAACACUUCUGGUCAGGAGAGUAGUUGGGCCGAAUCAGUCUUCUGGCCAAGGGAGCAGCCCUACCCAUGUGUGCGCACCUUAAACCAUGCUAGACCAUCCCGUGCAUCGGGGGCUCAUUCCCAGGGUUAUUGAUUCAGCUUUUACUAAACACGAACGCCCUCCUAGUCUCUGACUUCAAGAUGUGACAGCAAAAGAAAGUCACCACCUUCUUAAAGAGUUGGAACAAAGAGGGAUUUGUCAGAAACAUUAAAUAUUUUUUUUUCUAUUAGCCACCGUAAAACUUGGGUUGUGGGCUGGAGAGAUGGCUCAGUGGUUAAGAGCACUGACUGCUCUUCCAGAGGUCCUGAGUUCAAUUCCCAGCAACCACAUGGCGGCUCACAACCAUCUGUAAUGGGAUCUAGUGCCCUCUUCUGGUGUGUCUGAAGACAGCUACAGUGUACUCACAUACAUUAAAUAAAUAAAUAAAUACCUUGGGUUGUGAGAAUGAAUUCAAAUCAUUUUAUCUCCCCCACCUUGUAAGACUAUUAUGCAAAUGUUUAUCCCUUCCUCCUCCCGACUCGAGACCUAGUAAACCUUUGUAGUUGAAUACAAAGCCCCUGCUACAGUCUCAGAACUUUGGUGACUGAAGCAGCAGACCCCUUCCCAAUUUCCACAUUUCCUUUACCCCAGUCUUUUACAAAUAGUCAAUUCAAAAGUCUGUGAGGUCAGCCCCCAGCCAAUGGGGAAUGACAGUCACUACAUUAGAAUAGAAACCAAGUGCCCAGACCCCCUCCACCUGCUGCCUGCUCUGUGGCUUGCACCCUCCUGAUCAACAUCCAAGGUGGGCUUCCCCCUCUCUGAGAGUAGGGGCUGUAAUGAGGGGAAGGUUUUGUGGGGUGAGACUGGAAGGAGGAGGGAUGUAAUGUAGUUAAAAGAUUAAAGUUUUGCCUUACAGAGCCCUUUGUAUGACACUGAAUAUAUAUAUAUAUAUUUUGGUUUUUCUUGACAGGGUUUCUCUGUAUAGUCCUGGCUGUCCUGGAACUCACUCUGUAGACCAGGCUGGCCUCCAACUCAGAAAUCCGCCUGCCUCUGCCUCCCGAGUGCUGGGAUUAAAGGCGUGCGCCACCACACCUGGCUUCUGAAUAUAUUUUUAACAAAGGUAAAGUUUUCUGUUUUGUUUCUUGAAGGAAAAAGAAAGCACAUUUUUCUGGGUGGGUGGCGGCAGCUCAGGGAGGGCACCCGCCUGCCAGGACACCUGGAUAUAUAUACCUUUUCUACCAGCUUCAAGACACUAAACACUGAGCCAGGAGAACUAAAAUUCCUCUCAAGAGUUGAGAGAGCUAGCUGACUAUUGACUUGGAUAGCAGAAGACACCCUUGGUUGAACAGGUCUGCAUUGGUCAGGAGUUCAUGAACACAUGAUUAAAAAAAUAAAAUAAAAUCAGUGUUGGCUCUUUGUUUCUGCAAUUCUAGACACCUGGUAUGAGGCCCAAACUCAGAGGCUGCCCAUAGUUAGAUCUGGUCUAUUAGCAGGCAAGUUGCAGCAACUGCCUUAAAACAUGGCAGUACCCGAAUUGCACAGACAUAGGGUUCCAGUGUGGGCAUUAGUGCACCUGCUGCAAGCUCUUGCCUUUCAUGCACAGAACUUAAUGCAGAGAUGCUCACCAGUGGCUUCUUUAGGUUUUUUAGUGGCUUAAUUACAGGGUCCAUGUCACUCAAGUAAGUCAGCAUCCGGUCCUUACAGCUUGUGAUAUUGAAGAAUAAAAAUUUUUACUGAACUCUUCACCCCAGAAUGCAUUCCUGAACUCCUCACCCUAGAGUUCGAACCCUCCCAACUAAAAACUGUUCCAAGAACAUUUUUGAGAUAAGGGCCUCCUGGAACAACCUCAAAAUGAACCGGGUACAUUGCCAAAUAAUAGGACAUGACCCCUUAGUUACGUAGAUUCCUUGGCAGAACCCCUUGUCCCUUGGCAGAACCCCCUAGUGAUGUAAACUUGUACUUUCCCUGCCCAGCUCUCCCCCCUUGAGUUUUACUAUAUAAGCCUGUGAAAAAUUUGGCUGGUCGUCGAUUCUCCUCUACACCACUAGGUGCAUGAGUUUCGACCCCAGAGCUCUGGUCUAUGUUCCAUGUGCUUUCUUGCUGUUGUUCUAUUAAAUCUUGCCUUCUACAUUU
This 3706-nucleotide long non-coding RNA is filed under the name Mus musculus (house mouse). RNAcentral describes it as "long non-coding RNA chr5:143770039-143773745". Lineage: Eukaryota; Metazoa; Chordata; Mammalia; Rodentia; Muridae. The record is from RNAcentral.